GUCUACGGCCAUGCCACCCUGAACAAGCUCGAUGUCUGAUCUCGGAAGCUAAGCAGGGUCGGGCCUGGUUAGUUCUUGGAUGGGAGACCACCUAGGAAGAUCAGGUGCUGUAGGAA
This 116-nucleotide ribosomal RNA is filed under the name Pteropus alecto (black flying fox). Lineage: Eukaryota; Metazoa; Chordata; Mammalia; Chiroptera; Pteropodidae. The record is from RNAcentral.